AGCGAACGCUGGCGGCGUGCCUAACACAUGCAAGUCGAACGUGAAAGGGAGCAAUCCCAAGUAAAGUGGCGUACGGGUGAGUAACACGUAGGUAAUCUACCCCAGAAUCUGGAAUAACCGGCCGAAAGGCUGGCUAAUACUUGAUAGAGCGACGGAAUCCGUAAUUGGGUUUUUCGGGAAAGGGAGCCUGUAAAAAGGCCUUCGUUCUGGGAUGAGCCUGCGUCCCAUCAGCUAGUUGGUGAGGUAAAAGCUUACCAAGGCAAUGACGGGUAGGUGGUCUGAGAGGACGGUCAGCCACACUUGAACUUAAACACCGUCCAGACUCCCUAGGGAGGCAGCAGUGGGGAAUCUUUCGGAAUUGACGAAAGUCUUACGCAGCAACGCCGCGGUGGUGAAGAAGGCCUUCGGGUUCGAAAGCUCUGUCUAGUGGGACGAAAAUGCUUGGUGUUCACAGCUCCAGGAACUGACGGUACCUAUAAAGAAAGCACCGGCUAACUCCGUG
This 502-nucleotide ribosomal RNA is filed under the name uncultured bacterium. Its description in RNAcentral is "partial 16S ribosomal RNA". It matches the Rfam family "Bacterial small subunit ribosomal RNA", at positions 29 to 507 of the family's 1533-position model. The record is from RNAcentral.